This 253-nucleotide ribosomal RNA is filed under the name uncultured bacterium. RNAcentral describes it as "partial 16S ribosomal RNA". It matches the Rfam family "Bacterial small subunit ribosomal RNA", at positions 524 to 776 of the family's 1533-position model. The record is from RNAcentral.
UACGUAGGGUGCGAGCGUUAAUCGGAAUUACUGGGCGUAAAGCGUGCGCAGGCGGCGCGUUAAGACAGGUGUGAAAGCCCCGAGCUUAACUUGGGAAUUGCGCUUGUGACUGGCGAGCUGGAGUGUGGCAGAGGGAGGUGGAAUUCCACGUGUAGCAGUGGAAUGCGUAGAGAUGUGGAGGAACACCGAUGGCGAAGGCAGCCUCCUGGGCCAGCACUGACGCUCAUGCACGAAAGCGUGGGGAGCAAACAGG